AUGUAACUUCCUUUACUGGUUUGCUGCAGGCAAUUUCACUGCAAGUAAUUACUGCAGCUCCCAGCAUGUAGUUUUCCAUUUUGCUUUUGCCGAUCAAGAUUUUCAAAUUGUAGAUGAGUAUUUGUUAAUGAGUUACAAACACUUAUAACCACUAAAUAGGAGCCUUAUUGUAAAGUGUAAAACACUUCACUAUUUAUUAAUGAGUUACAAACACUUAUAACCACUAAACAGGAGCCUUAUUGUAAAGUGUAAAACACUUCACUAUUUAUUAAUGAGUUACAAACACUUAUAACCACUAAAUAGGAGCCUUAUUGUAAAGUGUAAAACACUUCACUAUUUAUUAAUGAGUUACAAACACUUAUAACCACUAAACAGGAGCCUUAUUUUAAAGUGUAAAACACUUCACUAUUUAUUAAUGAGUUACAAACACUUAUAACCACUAAAUAGGAGCCUUAUUGUAAAGUGUAAAACACUUCACUAUUUAUUAAUGAGUUACAAACACUUAUAACCACUAAAUAGGAGCCUUAUUGUAAAGUGUAAAACACUUCACUAUUUAUUAAUGAGUUACAAAUGUAAGUGAUAUUUAAGACUACUUUUCUACGUAAUAUAUGAAAUAUGUAGUAUAUACAUUCAUCUUUUAUUUUAUUUUAGGAUCAGAAUGUUUCAUUGUUGAAACUGUGACAGACUGUGAUGCUGUGACAGACGAAAGUGUGCUAUAUCAUCCAUUUCAAACCUCGUCUCUCUCCUUCCCUUUCUGACCUGGACCUGGAUGCUUCAGUGCCCUGACUACAGCUAAACAGCAGAAUAGUUUAAUAAUGAGGAAAACUGACCAAAGUGGCAGGACAGUAUAAAUAAAGAUGUUAUUGACAUUU
This is a long non-coding RNA of Astyanax mexicanus (Mexican tetra), 872 nucleotides long. RefSeq lists it as uncharacterized. Lineage: Eukaryota; Metazoa; Chordata; Actinopteri; Characiformes; Acestrorhamphidae. The record is from RefSeq and is a predicted model, not a curated record. The transcript has 2 exons.